UAGCAGACAGAACUAUGGAGCAUGAA
Molecule: non-coding RNA, 26 nt
Filed under: Homo sapiens (human)
Lineage: Eukaryota; Metazoa; Chordata; Mammalia; Primates; Hominidae
Source: RNAcentral